Long non-coding RNA from Oncorhynchus keta (chum salmon), 2520 nucleotides. RefSeq lists it as uncharacterized. Lineage: Eukaryota; Metazoa; Chordata; Actinopteri; Salmoniformes; Salmonidae. The transcript has 6 exons. The record is from RefSeq and is a predicted model, not a curated record.
CAAAAAGGAUUCCUUAGUUGUUCAUUUUUUUGAAAAUCUAAUGGCACAAUUUCGAUUUGAGCCAAUGUCUUAAGUAGCUGAACAGGUUAUUACUCCAACCUUGUAAAUGUGACAAACUGACACGUUUUUAAUUAUAAACAAAAAACUUUGUAUCGACGAGUGGGUGCCUUUGAUUCGAUGGCCUGCACAUGGGCAGUUCAUGACCCCAUGACGUGUUUGUAGGCAUGAGUUUAGCUAGCCAUGACAUCGCCUACAAGUGUGAUAGGGGAUUUCUAUUGGAUAAGCAGUUUUAGCCUUAUCUUCAUACCAGUGACAGUCAAUGCCGUUUAAGAUUAGGGAGGACAAUUGUUUUUUAUUUUUUUAUUAUGAACAUGGCCUUAUUUCUGUUACAGCAUAUUGGAUGACUGUCAUUCAUAUUCCAUUCACCCAGCUCAAUGUAACAGUGAUAGGUUUAGGUUACUGUCAUUCAUAUUCCAGUCACCCAGCUCAAUGUAACAGUGACAGGUUUAGGUUACUGUCAUUCAUAUUCCAGUCACCCAGCUCAAUGUAACAGUGACAGGUUUAGGUUACUGCCAUUCAUAUUCCAUUCACCCAGCUCAAUGUAACAGUGACAGGUUUAGGUUACUGUCAUUCAUAUUCCAUUCACCCAGCUCAAUGUAACAGUGAUAGGUUUAGGUUACUGUCAUUCAUAUUCCAGUCACCCAGCUCAAUGUAACAGUGACAGGUUUAGGUUACUGUCAUUCAUAUUCCAUUCACCCAGCUCAAUGUAACAGUGAUAGGUUUAGGUUACUGUCAUUCAUAUUCCAUUCACCCAGCUCAAUGUAACAGUGAUAGGUUUAGGUUACUGUCAUUCAUAUUCCAUUCACCCAGCUCAAUGUAACAGUGACAGGUUUAGGUUACUGUCAUUCAUAUUCCAUUCACCCAGUUCAAUGUAACAGUGAUAGGUUUAGGUUACUGUCAUUCAUAUUCCAUUCACCCAGCUCAAUGUAACAGUGAUAGGUUUAGGUUACUGUCAUUCAUAUUCCAUUCACCCAGCUCAAUGUAACAGUGAUAGGUUUAGGUUACUGUCAUUCAUAUUCCAUUCACCCAGCUCAAUGUAACAGUGAUAGGUUUAGGAUACUGUCAUUCAUAUUCCAUUCACCCAGCUCAAUGUAACAGUGAUAGGUUUAGGAUACUGUCAUUCAUAUUCCAGUCACCCAGCUCAAUGUAACAGUGAUAGGUUUAGGUUACUGUCAUUCAUAUUCCAUUCACCCAGCUCAAUGUAACAGUGAUAGGUUUAGGUUACUGUCAUUCAUAUUCCAUUCACCCAGCUCAAUGUAACAGUGAUAGGUUUAGGUUACUGUCAUUCAUAUUCCAUUCACCCAGCUCAAUGUAACAGUGAUAGGUUUAGGAUACUGUCAUUCAUAUUCCAUUCACCCAGCUCAAUGUAACAGUGACAGGUUUAGGUUACUGUCAUUCAUAUUCCAGUCACCCAGCUCAAUGUAACAGUGAUAGGUUUAGGUUACUGUCAUUCAUAUUCCAUUCACCCAGCUCAAUGUAACAGUGAUAGGUUUAGGUUACUGUCAUUCAUAUUCCAUUCACCCAGCUCAAUGUAACAGUGAUAGGUUUAGGUUACUGUCAUUCAUAUUCCAUUCACCCAGCUCAAUGUAACAGUGACAGGUUUAGGUUACUGUCAUUCAUAUUCCAUUCACCCAGUUCAAUGUAACAGUGACAGGUUUAGGUUACUGUCAUUCAUAUUCACCCAGUUCAAUGUAACAGUGAUAGGUUUAGGUUACUGUCAUUCAUAUUCACCCAGUUCAAUGUAACAGUGACAGGUUUAGGUUACUGUCAUUCAUAUUCACCCAGUUCAAUGUAACAGUGAUAGGUUUAGGUUACUGUCAUUCAUAUUCAUAUUCACCCAGUUCAAUGUAACAGUGACAGGUUUAGGUUACUGUCAUUCAUAUUCCAGUCACCCAGCUCAAUGUAACAGUGAUAGUUUUAGGUUACUGCCAUUCAUUUCCAUUCACCCAGUUCAAUGUAACAGUGAUAGGUUUAGGAUACUACAUGAUACUCUAAUGUUCCCUAUACCAAUCCAGCAUCUAUGUAAUGACAUGAUAAAUAAAUAACAAUAAGAUCGCAUCCAAGUCAACUCGCGCUGGUAGACUAUCUCUGUCCCUGCUCCCCCUCGUCACUCACAUGACUGCUGCUCUGCGUUGACCCUCUCGCUCUCCCUCAUGCCUUAAAGCUCCCUCAUGCAUUAAAGCUCCCUCAUUCAUUAAAGCUCCCUCUUGCAUUAAAGCUCCCUUAUUCCUUAAAGCUCCCUCUUGCAUUAAAGCUCCCUCAUUCCUUAAAGCUCCCUCAUGCAUUAAAGCUCCCUCAUGCAUUAAAGCUCCCUCAUGCAUUAAAGCUCCCUCAUGCAUUAAAGCUCCCUCAUGCAUUAAAGCUCCCUCAUUCCUUAAAGCUCCCUCAUGCAUUAAAGCUCCCUCAUGCAUUAAAGCUCCCUCAUGCAUUAAAGCUCCCUCAUUCAUUAAAGCUCCCUCA